UACGUAGGCAGCAAACGUUGUUCGGAAUUACUGGGCGUAAAGAGUGUGUAGGCGGUUUUGUUAGUUUGGUGUGAAAUCUCCCGGCUUAACUGGGAGGGUGCGCCGAAUACUGCAAAGCUUGAGUACUGGAGAGGAUAGCGGAAUUCCUGGUGUAGCGGUGAAAUGCGUAGAUAUCUGGAGGAACACCGGUGGCGAAGGCGGCAUCCUGGACCAAUAUUGACGCUGAGGAGCGAAAGCCAGGGGAGCAAACGGG
This 253-nucleotide ribosomal RNA is filed under the name uncultured bacterium. Its description in RNAcentral is "partial 16S ribosomal RNA". It matches the Rfam family "Bacterial small subunit ribosomal RNA", at positions 524 to 776 of the family's 1533-position model. The record is from RNAcentral.